RNAcentral lists this ribosomal RNA (157 nucleotides) under uncultured bacterium. RNAcentral's name for it is "partial 16S ribosomal RNA". It matches the Rfam family "Bacterial small subunit ribosomal RNA", at positions 1336 to 1500 of the family's 1533-position model. The record is from RNAcentral.
UAGUAAUCGCGCAUCAGCCAUGGCGCGGUGAAUACGUUCCCGGGCCUUGUACACACCGCCCGUCAAGCCAUGGGAGCCGGGGGCGCCUGAAGUGCGGUACCGCGAGGGCCGCCCAAGGGCGAGACCGGUGACUGGGGCUAAGUCGUAACAAGGUAAC